Molecule: ribosomal RNA, 498 nt
Filed under: uncultured bacterium
Lineage: Bacteria
Description: bacterial SSU rRNA
Rfam family: Bacterial small subunit ribosomal RNA
Source: RNAcentral
AUUGAACGCUGGCGGCAUGCUUUACACAUGCAAGUCGAACGGUAACAGGGACUUCGGUCUGCUGACGAGUGGCGAACGGGUGAGUAACAUAUCGGAACGUGCCCAGUAAUGGGGGAUAGCUCGGCGAAAGCCGGAUUAAUACCGCAUACGCCCUGAGGGGGAAAGUGGGGGAUCUUCGGACCUCACGUUAUUGGAGCGGCCGAUAUCGGAUUAGCUAGUUGGUGGGGUAAAGGCCUACCAAGGCGACGAUCCGUAGCUGGUCUGAGAGGAUGAUCAGCCACACUGGGACUGAGACACGGCCCAGACUCCUACGGGAGGCAGCAGUGGGGAAUUUUGGACAAUGGGCGCAAGCCUGAUCCAGCCAUGCCGCGUGUGUGAAGAAGGCCUGCGGGUUGUAAAGCACUUUUGUUCGGGAAGAAAUCAUGUCGGUUAAUACCCGAUGUGGAUGACGGUACCGAAAGAAUAAGCACCGGCUAACUUCGUGCCAGCAGCCGACGG